GUAUUGGUGUGCUGGAUAUCCCUUCACUGGUAGCCUGGUAACAUACACUCCCAGGUCUUUCUCUGCCUCUGUGGUGGAUAGUGGAGUGUUUCUCAUGUGGUAUUGGUGUGCUGGAUAUCCCUUCACUGGUAGCCUGGUAACAUACACUCCCAGGUCUUUCUCUGCCUCUGUGGUGGAUAGUGGAGUGUUUGCCAUGUGGUAUUGGUGUGCUGGAUAUCCCUUCACUGGUAGCCUGGUAACAUACACUCCCAGGUCUUUCUCUGCCUCUGUGGUGGAUAGUGGAGUGUUUGCCAUGUGGUAUUGGUGUGCUGGAUAUCCCUUCACUGGUAGCCUGGUAACAUACACUCCCAGGUCUUUCUCUGCCUCUGUGGUGGAUAGUGGAGUGUUUCCCAUGUGGUAUUGGUGUGCUGGAUAUCCCUUCACUGGUAGCCUGGUAACAUACACUCCCAGGUCUUUCUCUGCCUCUGUGGUGGAUAGUGGAGUGUUUCCUAUGUGGUAUUGGUGUGCUGGAUAUCCCUUCACUGGUAGCCUGGUAACAUACACUCCCAGGUCUUUCUCUGCCUCUGUGGUGGAUAGUGGAGUGUUUGCCAUGUGGUAUUGGUGUGCUGAAUAUCCCCUCCAAAGGUGCAGGACUUAGC
Long non-coding RNA from Eriocheir sinensis (Chinese mitten crab), 638 nucleotides. RefSeq lists it as uncharacterized. NCBI's taxonomy places the organism in Eukaryota, Metazoa, Arthropoda, Malacostraca, Decapoda, Varunidae. The transcript has 3 exons. The record is from RefSeq and is a predicted model, not a curated record.